Molecule: small nuclear RNA, 107 nt
Filed under: Sciurus vulgaris (Eurasian red squirrel)
Lineage: Eukaryota; Metazoa; Chordata; Mammalia; Rodentia; Sciuridae
Source: RNAcentral
GUACUCAGUUCAGCUGCACAUAUACUAAAAUUGGAAUGAUACAGAGAAGAUUUGCAUGGCCCCUGAGCAAGGAUGACAUGCAAAUUCGUGAAGCAUUCCAUAUUUUU